Molecule: ribosomal RNA, 497 nt
Filed under: uncultured bacterium
Lineage: Bacteria
Description: partial 16S ribosomal RNA
Rfam family: Bacterial small subunit ribosomal RNA
Source: RNAcentral
GAUGAACGCUGGCGGCGUGCCUAAUACAUGCAAGUCGAGCGAACAGACGAGGAGCUUGCUCCUCUGACGUUAGCGGCGGACGGGUGAGUAACACGUGGAUAACCUACCUAUAAGACUGGGAUAACUUCGGGAAACCGGAGCUAAUACCGGAUAAUAUAUUGAACCGCAUGGUUCAAUAGUGAAAGACGGUUUUGCUGUCACUUAUAGAUGGAUCCGCGCCGCAUUAGCUAGUUGGUAAGGUAACGGCUUACCAGGGCAACGAUGCGUAGCCGACCUGAGAGGGUGAUCGGCCGCACUGGAACUGAGACACGGUCCAGACUCCUACGGGAGGCAGCAGUAGGGAAUCUUCCGCAAUGGGCGAAAGCCUGACGGAGCAACGCCGCGUGAGUGAUGAAGGUCUUCGGAUCGUAAAACUCUGUUAUUAGGGAAGAACAAAUGUGUAAGUAACUAUGCACGUCUUGACGGUACCUAAUCAGAAAGCCACGGCUAACUACGUG